RNAcentral lists this long non-coding RNA (230 nucleotides) under Zostera marina. RNAcentral describes it as "long non-coding RNA (ZMAR_LNC004719)". Lineage: Eukaryota; Viridiplantae; Streptophyta; Magnoliopsida; Alismatales; Zosteraceae. The record is from RNAcentral.
UCGCCGAUAUUGAUGAUUUGCCGAAAGAAAUUGACGAUGACAAUCAAAGAAACAUAUCUUUCUACUAUUUUUGAGAUAAAAUGCUUUGUUGUUUCCCAUACAAUAUGGACAUGCUAAUUUUCCAUGAGUACUCCAACCGGACAACAUUGCAUAAGCUGGGAAGUCUGAAAUAGUCCACAAAAGUGCCGCUUUCAUUAAGAAAUUUUGUUUUUUAAAUGCAUCGUAUGUCU